This is a long non-coding RNA of Rhagoletis zephyria (snowberry fruit fly), 2808 nucleotides long. RefSeq lists it as uncharacterized. The record is from RefSeq and is a predicted model, not a curated record. Lineage: Eukaryota; Metazoa; Arthropoda; Insecta; Diptera; Tephritidae.
GGUCCCUGUUAAUUAAACAGGCCUGCGAGAUAGAGUUUUUAAAAGGGGUAGGGCUGAUUGUUGUAAACUAUUUUGCGCUGAAAACGAAUCUGACCUUGAAAAUGCUCCAUCAUAUCAAGAUUUUUGUAAAUUUUAGGUUAAAUGACCACAAUAUGGAAAUUUAUGCAUUUUUUACGGGUAUGGAUUCUUUUUUUUUAAUUUUCCACAAAAACAUCGCAUCAUUCUACAAGUAAAAAAAUAUUAAGAACAGUCAAAAACUUGCAUAACUAAAAGUCUCAUACUGAAAAUUGUAUAUUUAUUUAUUAUUGACUGAUUUGGCAAAAUGAAUUUUAAAGCUACAAAGUGACACUACGUUUGCGAUGUUUUUGUGGACACUUUAACCUAAAAUUACCAAAAAUCUUUAUAUGAUGGAGCAUUUUCAAGGUCAGAUUCGUUUUCAGUGCAAAAAUCUCCGAGAAUCACCUGGAAACUGGAAAAAAGUGAAAUUUCACAGGCCUAUGUUAUAUGUGCAAUCUGUACAUAUUUGAUAAUAGUGUAUAUUUGUAUAUAUAUUUUUAAGCAGUUAUUUAUGUUUGUUUAUAUUUGUAUUUUCGUUUUUAAGUAAAUGCAUUUGGCCGUCGAAAACUAAAGUUCGUUUCGUUACUAAGGUGUCCUUGAAAAACCAUAAAAACCGAACAAAGCGACUUAUAAAAUCAAACAGAAAACUGCAUGUAAUAUUUCGUCCUUCCCCCUUCUAGUCAUACUGUUCAAAACCGAUCCUGUAGCCCAAUAAAAAAUGCCGUUACAAAAUAGUACUCCCGUUCCGGUGUAGUGAUUUUUGUUAAAUAACUAUAGAACAAAUAGGUACACUUUAAGUGAAAAUUGAAUUGAAUUGCAGUGAUUUGUACUGCAGCUAAAACUUUGGUUGAGAAUGGGCAAAUGGAACUUUGAAGACGUAACAUUAGAUCAUUUUCGAAACUAGCCCACUUCGAAAAAGGUUAAAAUUAGACUUAAGAAAUGGAAACUAUAAAAUCCAGAAAAAAGAUUAUUACAAAAAAAUAAAGAGAUAAAAUUUCUUGUUCAGUGUUGAAAAAUAAGACGUAGAGAGGAUUUUAUAAACCAGCACGUGGACUUCUUAGCAGUAAAAGGUACACAAAUUACGAAACUUGAAAUAUUCGGCCCUAACUUUCAAUGAAUUGGCAGCUGGGGUGAACAUUAAAAUGUCAAAAAGGAGUCACACUCCCAGUAAUUUGUAUAGCACACCCUUUUGAUGCUCUGUAUGUACAGUUUCCCUCUUAUUUAUUUGAUAUUCAUAAUUUUUUUUUAUAAAAAUGUAGCAUAUCACGUGUAAAUCAGAUUUUAAAAUUUUAUAAAAAUUUAAAAACAUGUCAACAAAGGGGUGUUCUAUCUUAAUGACAUUAAACAAAAAAUGAAUAUUAAACAAACAAAAGGAAAACUGUAAAAAGUGUGGAUCAAUAUAGUGUGCUAUUCUAAUGGCUGGGUGUGUAAGAAAAAAACUCUCAAUUUAUUUUCCAUACCACGAAAUUUGCCUUUAAUGGAGUUACAUUUUAAAGUCUGUUAAUAAUCUUUCCGAGUUCAAUAAAAUACUUUCCAUCUUAAUUUUAUAUUUUUCGUCCAAAAAAAUUUUUUUUGCAUCAUUUUGGUCAUUUGCAGACAAUUUGGUCAACUAAAAAUUAUUUACGACAUGACUUCUGCUAUAAAUUAUUUAUGAUUUCAUAGUUCUUAUAGUUCUAAAUAAGUAAAGUCUAAACUGAACCUUUUCGAAAUCGUUCCGUUUCGAAACAUUCUCAUCCAAAUUUCGAGUUUCAAAGUUUAGAUUCUUCGUUACCGGUACUUGCAAGUAAAUACUCGAUACUUUUUCUCCAAAGCAAGUACUUUUUUUACUCAAUGCCUUUUCGAGUUUGGUACUUGCUAUAUUUGCUACGUGGCAACGCUUAACUUAUCGUUCAUCAUAAACACCUUCCAUCAUGUCAAAGUAUGUCAUGUAAAUUUAAAUGUUGCCGUUAUUUUUUCGUGUUUACUUUCCUUGUUGCUUCGUCUUUUAUUGAUUUGGAAUAUUUGAGAUUUUGCAAUUUAUAAUUAGAAUUUUUUACUCAAUACUUAAAUAUACGCGAUUCCUUUUAUCGAUAUUUAUUAAGUACUCGAUACUUUGUCCCGAUACCAGAAACAAGUAAAAGUAUCGAUACCAAGGGGGUAUCGAAUGGUCAAUAUAUACGUACUUAUGGAACGCAAAUCACCGCAAUAUAAUGAGGUUAUUAAUAUCAUGUUUUAUAGCGGCAUUUUUUUUUUAUUGGGUCGACCAGAUCGGUUUGAAAACAGAUUGACUUUGUUCGUUUGUGUUUUUGACGGGCAGCUUAGCUGAUGUGCUAUAGUUACGAAAUACACUUUACAUUGUUUCGUAUUUUGUGCAUUGUAAAUUUGCGAUUUAUUUCUUGAGCGCAUGUGGCGAUCUCGUUUUAAGUAAUUGCAGAUGUACUUAUGUAUGUACAUAUUUUUCUAAUAUAUACAUAUGUAUGUACACAUGCAUGUAAAAACUACAAAGGAGUGAAAAUGGUCUGCGCUGACACCGUCACUUAUGACGGUUUUUUUUUUACUGAUAAUGUUGCACCUUAAAAAUUGUUACCGACAUAUAGUCGACAAUGCCACAGAAGUCAUGCAGGUGUACUCCAUCACUCCUUCAAAAUCUAUCAAAGGUCUAGAACAGACAAUGUAUUGCAGCGGUCACUUAUAAAAAAAAAGAAACAUUGCAAGACACCAAUGGCCAGUCUAUUAUAUUCACCGAAUUGAGCAAGUGGACUGGCACUUUAG